GGGAAAAGGAACAGAGUAUGCCUGGUUCGGCAGCACCUCCUCCCUCUUCUCUUUUUUGCCCGAUCCACUUUGCUCUUACAAAGGCAGAUUUAAAGUUAAGAGAGUGGCAUGGUCAAAGAGAAAUAAGAACCAAUAAGGGGGGGCACCUGACCCAGCCUAAAACACAGUGCCCAGAGGAGCUGACAUCUGAGCUAAGUCUUCAAGGAUUGGCAGAUACUACCAGCUGAAGAACUGAGGUGGCAUGGAUUCUAUCCUUCAUGUUUAUAACUCCCAGUGACAUUUCCCCUCAUCCCCCACAUACAUGAGUCACUCAUUACUAACAUUUAUUUAAGGCCCUGCUACUUGGCAGGCACUGUGCUAAAACUUCAAAAUGACCAAGUAAGGUAUAAUGAAGAAGACAUGUAAUGAACUAAAUGCAGGACUAGGGGUGUAGCCCAGUGGUACAGGGGGUGCUUAGUAGGCACAGGGUCCUGGAUUCAAUCGACAGCACCAAAAAAGAAAAAAAUAAAUGAAUGAAUAAAUAAAUGCAAUAAAACACUACAGUACUGUGUUGGGACACAGAAGAGCAGCCAGGGAGGGAGGGCCAGGAAAGGUCUCCUAAGAGCUGGUGAAGAAAGUUAUUUAAAGAUGAAUGGGUAUUAGCCAACCAGGGAGGCUAUUCCAGGCAGAGGGGACAUUAUGUUCAAAGGCACUGAGGAGUGAAACAGCCUGACUUGUGGAGGAAAUCAAGUUUGGCAAGGUUAAUGCACAAGAUGGGGUCCCUAAGAAGCAUAAAGUCAUCGGAUCAGGCCUAACCCUACAGACUAAUUCCUAUCCUCUCCGUGGGACACUGAGUGUGGCCAGCACGGGUCUGCCCCCACCUUGGAUGCAACUCCAGGGUCCUCUCUCUGUCUUUGCACCAUGAAGUCCAGUCUCUGCUCUUUGAGGAAAGAACUAGCCUGAUUUGUGAAAAUAGCACGAACUGCAGAGUUCAGAUGCUGGCCUAUGAAUGUGUGACUUUGGGCAAUUUUUGAAAAUCUCUGCUCUAGUUUCCUUCUAUUUGUACAAUGGGUUGAUAUCUACCUCACAGAAUUGUUUCAAAGAUUAAAGAGACUUCAUCUUUGUGGAGG
Chinchilla lanigera (long-tailed chinchilla) is the source of this 1109-nucleotide long non-coding RNA. RefSeq lists it as uncharacterized. The transcript is spliced from 2 exons. The record is from RefSeq and is a predicted model, not a curated record. Lineage: Eukaryota; Metazoa; Chordata; Mammalia; Rodentia; Chinchillidae.